Molecule: long non-coding RNA, 406 nt
Filed under: Pan troglodytes (chimpanzee)
Lineage: Eukaryota; Metazoa; Chordata; Mammalia; Primates; Hominidae
Description: long non-coding RNA NONPTRT010967
Source: RNAcentral
AACCUUUUGGUAGCAUUUAGGGGGUCAGAGCCUCCAGAAACCUCAAAGUAAUUAGUUGCCUCGGUUCCAGACAAGUUUGUAUCAGAGAGAGAAAGAAAAACGCACAGACAUGAUUUAGAGAGAAUGCAUUUCAUUGUGGUCCCUCUUGAUACAAGUUAAAAGCAUUUGGAGUUUGGAUAGUUCCUCUCUGGUCAAAUGGAUUGAUAGUAGAUUUGGAGUAGUAAGGGUGUGAAGUGUGUUGGAAUGUUUAUAGUAAUGCUCAGUUUGUUCCUUGUGGUCAGUCCUUCUCUGGGCGGAAUUACUUUGGUCUGAGACAUGAUAUUACCAGCAUUGUGGGUUGUAUAGAAAAACGGAAAUUUAAUGAACUACAUUAUAGCCAUAUGGUCAGAACUCUAGGGCCUCACUU